UAUAUAUAUAUAUAUAUGUACAGUAGUUUAUAAUUCAAAUAUUAUAUUGUUUGUAAGUUCAUCUUUGAAAGAUUACAAAGUGAAUUUUUAACUUUUACAAGGUUAAUUUUUUAGGAUGAAAGAUUCAUAAGUGUAGUGAAUUUUUAACUUUUACAAGGUUAAUUUUUUAGGAUGAAAGAUUCAUAAGUGUGUUAUUUAAAUUAAUUUUCUAAAUACAUUGAAAGUUCUGAAAGUUCAGAGACUACCGGAUAUAAGAACUAAAACACAAGAUACCAAGAACGCUUUCUUGUAUAUUAGAAAUCUUUUAAACAAUCUUCCUAGAUCUGUUUAAUCCGAAUUACUCUCAGUCACACACGACUAGAGACGGAUCAAUUCUUAAUCUAUCAGAACAGAAACCACGAGCUACACCUACAAGUACUCAUCUUUCUUAAGCUCUCAA
Molecule: long non-coding RNA, 439 nt
Filed under: Brassica napus (rape)
Lineage: Eukaryota; Viridiplantae; Streptophyta; Magnoliopsida; Brassicales; Brassicaceae
Description: long non-coding RNA (BNAP_LNC025238)
Source: RNAcentral